RNAcentral lists this ribosomal RNA (379 nucleotides) under uncultured archaeon. RNAcentral's name for it is "bacterial SSU rRNA". It matches the Rfam family "Archaeal small subunit ribosomal RNA", at positions 347 to 727 of the family's 1478-position model. The record is from RNAcentral.
ACUUUACAAUGCUGGCAACAGCGAUAAGGGAACCUCGAGUGCCAGGUUACAAAUCUGGCUGUCGGGAUGCCUAAAAAGCAUUUCAUAGCAAGGGCCGGGCAAGACCGGUGCCAGCCGCCGCGGUAACACCGGCGGCUCGAGUGGUAACCGUUAUUAUUGGGUCUAAAGGGUCUGUAGCCGGCCGGAUAAGUCUCUUGAGAAAUAUGGCAGUUUAACUGUCAGGCUUUCAGGAGAUACUGUCUGGCUCGAGGCCGGGAGAGGUGAGGGUUACUACAGGGGUGGGGGUGAAACCUGGUAUCCUUGGAGGACCACCAGUGGCAAAAGCGGCGCCCCAGGACGGGACUUGCCGCAAAGGGCCAACGGUAAGGGCACGAACCGG